AGCUGAGGUCUCACCAAGAGCUAUAUAUACGGUCACUUAGUCUGGUUUAAAUGUAAGCAGACUUUCCAGCUCCUUGUCAAUGUUGUGUAGCAAGCAGGGACAAGGAGUGAAGAGGAUAUUCUUAAACCAGCAAAAACAGCUUUAACCAAGUUAGCUGGUUAGCUAAAGUUAGCUAACUUCACUAUUUCUCCCAGUUGCAGUAAGCUUAGCUAACAAGUGGCUGGCUGUAGCUUUAUAUUCAGCAUCAUAUCUUAUUAUUUGUGAAAGAAAGAAGGAAAAUGUUUGGACACAGUUUGGCUGACUCCACCUUUUCUCUUUGCGGUAAAGUAUCAUAAUUUGAUAAAAGAUGGCCUCGCUCUUCUUGCCAAAUCCAACUGUGCUAUCUCCAUUACACCCCUCUCAUCUCGUUUAAUGUUCCUUUGUUGUCUUUCAUGUUCAACCCCUCCAACCCUCUUCUCAGUAACUCCCUCCUGUCCUCUCCCUUUCUCUUUCGGAUGCAUCCCUUAGAUCCUUCACUUCUAAAGAUGUUUGUUUCCCUCUUUUGCCUUUCAAAGAUGUGGCCUACGUCAGACAGGGGCCUGGAAUAUGCCCUGCGUCUGUGAAUCACUGAGCAGUGAGUCUGAUCAAACCGACAGAAAUCUGGCGAGGCCGCAUCAGGCGACAUUGCCGGGUGCAUCAGCUUAGCCACGGUCAAAGAGAGUUCACACGCCUAUCAGACGUGGCUCCUUCUCCAAAGAGAAACUGUCAAAAUUAGAUUCAUUGGAUGUGUUUGUUCUUUGAGGCUUCUUUUAGGGACUCUUGGCAAAGAAGACAAUAAAUGUUAUGAAAUAAUUAUCAGCAUUUAUACGCUUCAGUGUGUUAAAGCAUGAUAGAAACACAGCUAAAUAGAUGAUGAUAAUGUUUCUCCAUCUAAUAGAUCAUUUUUUAAACUGUUUUUAAUGAGACUUUGUAGAGGCAGUCUUGGUCCUUAGGGGAUAAAUCCAGCCGGGUUCAAUGAUCUUGUGUAUUUCUCUCGAGCACUAAUGAAGUUUAAAUAAGUUAUUGCUAGUUUUUGACAAUGUGUUAUUAAUUUGUUUUAUUUAUUAGUACUUUUGUGGAUGCAGCAGAGAAUAUGCAGCACUUGACUCCAAGACAAAUUUCCCAAUGGGGACAGUAAAGUGUGUCUGAAUGCACUGUAUCAUAAAGUAUCAUAUCAUCUCGUCUCAUAUCGAAUCAUC
Molecule: non-coding RNA, 1217 nt
Organism: Xyrichtys novacula (pearly razorfish)
Lineage: Eukaryota; Metazoa; Chordata; Actinopteri; Labriformes; Labridae
Source: the annotation of a GenBank genome assembly